GGGGCCUUAGCUCAGUUGGUAGAGCGCUGCCUUUGCAAGGCAGAUGUCAGGAGUUCGAAUCUCCUAGGCUCCAC
This 74-nucleotide transfer RNA is filed under the name Kocuria varians. Its description in RNAcentral is "tRNA-Ala". It matches the Rfam family "tRNA". Rfam says of the family: Transfer RNA (tRNA) molecules are approximately 80 nucleotides in length. Lineage: Bacteria; Bacillati; Actinomycetota; Actinomycetes; Micrococcales; Micrococcaceae. RNAcentral also lists the same sequence under 162 other names. The record is from RNAcentral.